AAUCAUCAACUUCAUAGUUUUAUUACUGUGAAGCUUGGACUUGGAAGCUGCUGGCUCUGUCGGCUCUUCUUAAAUGCAUUAGCUGCUUGUCCGUGGGUUGGCUCAGAGUGUGAUAAGUAUCUGCACUUGGUGGCUGCUCGCUUUGGAUGUGGCUUCUAAUCGUCUUCGGACAACUUUUAAG
RNAcentral lists this unclassified non-coding RNA (181 nucleotides) under uncultured Polyporales. RNAcentral's name for it is "sequence contains ITS2". The record is from RNAcentral. Lineage: Eukaryota; Fungi; Basidiomycota; Agaricomycetes; Polyporales.